This is a long non-coding RNA of Rhagoletis zephyria (snowberry fruit fly), 138 nucleotides long. RefSeq lists it as uncharacterized. The record is from RefSeq and is a predicted model, not a curated record. NCBI's taxonomy places the organism in Eukaryota, Metazoa, Arthropoda, Insecta, Diptera, Tephritidae.
UUUGGCUGGUUCUCAACUUUGAAGACAGGCAGACAACUGAAAAUUGCAGUGUAAACACCUAUUGAGACGAAGGGAAUUAAGAAUAAGUUCUUUAGCAAGUGUGAACAGUUUUAAAUGCACAUUGUGAAGUUGCAGCUU